UAGUCCGCACGAGCGCACCCCUAUCCUUAGUUGCCAGCAUUUAGUUGGGCACUCUAGGAGACUGCCGGUGACAAACCGGAGGAAGGUGGGGAUGACGUCAAGUCAUCAUGGCCCUUAUGUGUAGGGCUACACACGUGCUACAAUGGCCAGUACAAAGGGUUGCCAACCCGCGAGGGGGAGCUAAUCCCAUAAAGCUGGUCGUAGUCCGGAUUGGAGUCUGCAACUCGACUCCAUGAAGUCGGAAUCGCUAGUAAUCGUAGAUCAGAAUUGCUACGGUGAAUACGUUCCCGGGCCUU
This 296-nucleotide ribosomal RNA is filed under the name uncultured bacterium. RNAcentral describes it as "partial 16S ribosomal RNA". It matches the Rfam family "Bacterial small subunit ribosomal RNA", at positions 1082 to 1382 of the family's 1533-position model. The record is from RNAcentral.